CAUCCCGGCUGCCAUCAGCCUGGAACGUUCCUGAACUCUUUGUUGCUGUGCUUUCCAGCACCGCCUUCAGUCUCGCUGUCUCCAGGAGCUCUUCCUACGUGAGAGGAGCCUGCGCUAAACAGAUGGAAGUACGAACAAACCCUGCUCAGCCUGCUGCUUAGACAAGUCCCCGGAUCUAGAAGGCAGCUGGGGACCAGAGUCCACACCGCAGCUCACCCCGUAGGGGCGGGGAUGGCCCUGCGGCUCCCUGCAGAGGGGACGGACUGUGCAGGAGGCGCCCAGCACCCAUAGGACCUCAGCAUCAGGCUCCCGCUGGAUGGGGGCAGGACGCACAGAGGAAAAGUCAAGUACUCAUAAAAGCUUGAGAACUUGGAGAAAUACCGGACAAAAAUUGUCAUGAGAGGCUACUUGAUUACCACACGUGCAACUGCCUGAGUAAGUUUAAACAGCAGAGGAAUGAAAGGACUCUGGGGGACAACUCUGACCGAAAACAUAGCUGAGAACCGGGAGCUUUAUGUCAAGACCACACUGCGGGAGCUUCUAGUGUACAUCGUGUUCCUCGUGGACAUAUGUCUGUCCAUGACCAAGUCACUGAUCCAAAUCCCGGCAUUCCACAUUUACACACAAAAUCAAUGGAUUCUUUCUGCCUUGAACAGUAUGAGAUGGUUCAGAGAAGCAAUCGUGUUUCAGAGACAGACAGUUGUUCUGGUUUGAAGCCUACGUGGAUGAAAUGUAAGAUUUUGGGUUUUACUUCCAGAACACCCCAGUUGUAGUCCUUGAGUGUAUGCGAUUGAAAGUGAAUAAAGAUAUCAAACA
Nannospalax galili (Upper Galilee mountains blind mole rat) is the source of this 816-nucleotide long non-coding RNA. RefSeq lists it as uncharacterized. NCBI's taxonomy places the organism in Eukaryota, Metazoa, Chordata, Mammalia, Rodentia, Spalacidae. The record is from RefSeq and is a predicted model, not a curated record. The transcript is spliced from 4 exons.